Molecule: long non-coding RNA, 362 nt
Organism: Chinchilla lanigera (long-tailed chinchilla)
Lineage: Eukaryota; Metazoa; Chordata; Mammalia; Rodentia; Chinchillidae
Source: Ensembl
CAAGGAGUCCCUGGGUCAUGUUACUGAAUAAAAGAAGGCAGUAACAAAAAUUUCUUUCAUAUGAAGCUUUAGACAAAUGAAACUAAUUGAUGACAAAAAAUAUAUAUGGCUGCUAAUUAUAGUAGAGUAGCAAAUGGGAAGAAUUAUCAGACUUUACUCAAAGGAAAAAAAUUGUUGAAAAAAAUUGAAGUGGAUAACGUAAGGGAAGUACUGACAAAGGUGAGCGUAGAAGUCAAAAUAGCUCUUGCCUUCCUGGAGCAAUGUGCUACCACCUGGGGACUUAUCAGCAACAGGUAGGACAUGGCUUUCUGAUAGGAAAAAAUAUAGAUGGUCAAUUUUUUCAUGGCUCUAAAUAUAAAAAU